Molecule: long non-coding RNA, 605 nt
Organism: Salvelinus namaycush (lake trout)
Lineage: Eukaryota; Metazoa; Chordata; Actinopteri; Salmoniformes; Salmonidae
Exons: 3
Source: RefSeq, a predicted model, not a curated record
ACAUCAAAACAGAGAAAGCUAAGAAAAGUUUCAAAGGUUUGUUGAUGGGACAGAACCAUGAAUGCCUGUUUGCAGAUCUUACCAGUUGCAAAACAAGAGCAAAUUUAAUUUUUAAUACCAAACGAGGGCACAUAUGGAAAAGGGUUAUUUGCAACCAUUUCCCUUUCUCAAAAAAGAGAGGCAUCAGCCAAGGAUGUCAGAUCAGCAUUUUUGAAGAAGCUGACCCUAGCAACACAUAUCAAACAGUAAACGUAUAUAAUAAUGGAACUGUAUUGAUACAAGGCAAUGAUUCAAGCCUCCAGGCUUUUGAGAAUAGGUUUACUACCCUAAAAGCAGAAGCUGAAAUCAUCUCAGAAACUGAGGAAAAAGUCAAGGAGGGAGAUGACGGUGAAAAGCAGGCCCCAACGGUCUCUGUGACCCAGCAAGAAGCCCUCAGUGUCCCUCUACCUACCUCACCUGCAGCAGACAGAGCCAAGGACAUGCCUACAACACCAAGAACACCUGCUAUGCAACGUUUCCACAACACCCUCUCUCUAGUCGAAGCAGAGGUCAUAGAACUCAGAGAGAACAAGCUUCAAGAGGAGGACACUGUCCAGAAACUUAAA